GGGGCCGACUGGUUUUGACAGCAAGACCAAUUGGAUUGUAAGCAUGUCGAGCUAUGAAAUUAACGCUCGUAAAUCUCUAUUUCAACCUUUUUAAAUGGCGAAAAUAACUACGCUUUAGCUGCUUAAUCGACUGAAUUACAGUAAGUCCUAGCCUAGUCGCGCAAGGCGCGAAAGCUAAAUGUCCCUUGGUAGCCCUUGUUGAUGGCGACCUUUUUAGGGGCACCAUAAAAGUCAACAUAGCAUUAUUACGGCUUCGGUAAUGGUGUAAAACUUAAGAAGCUAAGGGUAUGGUAGGCGGUUUUUGGUCAGCCAUGCCACUAAAAUUGAACAAGAACUAAGCAUGUAGAAAGCAAUGCGGUUGCUUGUUUGGACGAGGGUUCGAAUCCCUCCGGCUCCACCU
This 400-nucleotide transfer-messenger RNA is filed under the name Flagellimonas nanhaiensis. RNAcentral's name for it is "Muricauda nanhaiensis Standard tmRNA". It matches the Rfam family "transfer-messenger RNA". From Rfam's summary of the family: Bacterial tmRNA, also known as 10Sa RNA or SsrA, is named for its dual tRNA and mRNA-like properties. Lineage: Bacteria; Pseudomonadati; Bacteroidota; Flavobacteriia; Flavobacteriales; Flavobacteriaceae. The record is from Rfam by way of RNAcentral.